GCCUGGUUUUCUCAUAUCGGGUCACAUUUGAAUAAGGACAACUCAACGGCCGCAGUAUCUCUGACCGUGAUAAUGUAGCAUAGUAACUAGCCAAUUAAUUGUUGGCACGUAUGAAAGGCUUCACGAGUGUCCCGCUGUCUCGAGAUAUAACCCAGUGAAAUUGAAUUUGUAGUGAAGAUGCUACAUACAAUAAGGACCAUAGGAGAUUUACUGGCAACCACAAUCACAAUUGUAUCAGAGAGUUUUUGUCUGUAAAUCCAUAACUAAUUGAUGGUUUGUAUGACCUUUCUCGCAAGUCUGUUUCCAACAUCUUUUUCAAUUAUGAAUUGGAAGAUGAGCAAAGAGAGCAGGAAGGGCAAGCCACUACUUUAGUGAUCAAGAGCAGGCUAUGCUGAGAAUAGAUGAAUACCGAGUAGCAUCAAUAUAUGAACAUUAGGAAUGUUCAGAUGAAUGUAAACAGAGAGGUUAGUAAAAUGUGGAGAAAAUCAACCUUAACGCAAAAAAUUUAGAAAAUAUAUUAUAUCAAAAAAUUGCUCUUAUGAUACUCUAUCAAUUGGUGCUUGUUGCACAUCAAUGCAGCUUACCCAUCUCAAGUUUUAAGCCUUUGUAUUUUGUUGUUUUAAGCAAGAAGUGGAGAAAUUGCUGUAAAAUCAAUUUUUAAUGUUUCCAUUUACUUUCCAUGUUACAAAUGACAUCACAUGACUAACGACAUGACCAUACAAGUUGGCAAUAGAGAAAAAACUGCUUGAAGGUGUUGCUACUUAAAACUCUCCUAUCAUUGUUUAAGAUAAAGACAAAGCCAUCAAGCCAACUAAGGAUGAAGCCAGUGACCAUUCUAGCUAUGGUGUGCAUUCCUUGUUAGCGCUCUUAGAACAAAGGAUAGGUGCCACCAACCUAGAAAAACAAAGAUAAAACAUUUAAAACUGAUUCUUAAAUUCACUCUCAAAAGAUUAUAUUUAUCAUGAUAAGAAUUGUCAAGAUAUUUGUGGGUAAAGAA
Amphimedon queenslandica is the source of this 997-nucleotide long non-coding RNA. RefSeq lists it as uncharacterized. The transcript has 4 exons. The record is from RefSeq and is a predicted model, not a curated record. NCBI's taxonomy places the organism in Eukaryota, Metazoa, Porifera, Demospongiae, Haplosclerida, Niphatidae.